AAUGAACGCUGGCGGCAUGCCUAAUACAUGCAAGUCGAGCGAGACCUCCGGGACUUGUCGCGCACGGGUGUGUAACGCGUGGGAUUCUUACCUCGUGGUCGGAAUAACUGUUGGAAACGACUGCUAAUACGGGACGAGGACGUAAGUCCAAGGAUUUAUCGCACAAGGAUGAGCCCGCGUAGGAUUAGCUAGUUGGUGAGGUAAAGGCUCACUAAGGCGACGAUCCUUAGCUGGUCUGUGAGGAUGAUCAGCCACACUGGGACUGAGACACGGCCCAGACUCCUACGGGAGGCAGCAGUGGGGAAUAUUGGACAAUGGGCGAAAGCCUGAUCCAGCAAUGCCGCGUGAGUGAUGAAGGCAUUAGGGUUGUAAAGCUCUUUUAACCGGGAUGAUAAUGACAGUACCGGGAGAAUAAGCUCCGGCUAACUCCGUG
This 433-nucleotide ribosomal RNA is filed under the name uncultured bacterium. RNAcentral's name for it is "partial 16S ribosomal RNA". It matches the Rfam family "Bacterial small subunit ribosomal RNA", at positions 29 to 507 of the family's 1533-position model. The record is from RNAcentral.